UACAACUAGUAAGUGGGAGAACAGCAUUCCGACGUGGAUACUCGAGUAUUAUCACCUCCAGUUUAAAGAGGAACCACAAGAUGAAGCCUUUGAACAAUACAAAAAACACUCUUCCCACAAAUCUCUGCCUGAUGCCGUGGAGGAAUUCUGCUUGCUCCUCUUGACAGUUCCGACCUCAUGUUUUCAUCCCACUGAAGAGACUUAGAAGAUGGAGCUCAGCCUUCUUGCUUUUCUGCUCUCAAAGACACUGCAUAUGCCAAUGGUGUGUGAUCUGAAAAACGAGAAAGACUCUGAGAACUGAUUAAAUAUGCAUGUAAAAAUCUUCCUAUCAAGUCACUGAACAGUAAAAUUAAAUAGGACAAGGAAGCAGGUGGUAAACGAACAAAGACUGAUGUGAAAGAGAUGUUUACAUAAAGAGCAGCCUAACUAAUCCUUUGAAAUAUGAAUGUAAAGACUUCAAGAUGUCUAAAACCUUGGAUAGCUCUAGUUACAGGCGUUUCAAGGGCUUCUAGCAUCUUUAAAUUUUUUCCUCCAGCAUCUUUUAAAGCAGGAAAGAAUAGAAUAAUUUUCCUUCUCAAGGUGAGAUUUAAAAAUACCCUUAGAUCUUGCUCAGAAUUGGAACACAUAUUCUCCUUGACCCAGCACGGGAGCUGUAACUCUCCAAGUAUAACAAAUUGUUUUCUUGUAGCUCCCAGAACGAAACUCAAUCACACCAGAAAGUCUCUGAAGAGAACAACUUCAGAAGACAUUUUUGAAAGUGAACAGAAACUCCUUGAUGACAAGAAAAAGAAUGGAUCUGGCUUAACUGCUUUAAAAAAAUGUGUCUGGGUCCUUCUCUUCUUUUUAGCUUCCUCACCUUUUUUUAGUUCUCAGCACUCCGGUCAGAUUUGUUACAUGUUAAUUAGAAAAUUUCUCCUUGUGAUGAGAUGAAGUUUUUGUGCUUUGAUACCAUAAAUGCUCAAUAGAGCUUCACCUGGAACCUCAAAUUAUGAAAGAUUAGCAUCAGAGUCAGCAGAUAGAUGUCUUGGCACUCUCAUCAUUUUAAAGUCUGUAUU
This 1055-nucleotide long non-coding RNA is filed under the name Equus asinus (donkey). Its description in RNAcentral is "lncRNA (ENSEASG00005032685.1, ENSEASG00020022670.1)". Lineage: Eukaryota; Metazoa; Chordata; Mammalia; Perissodactyla; Equidae. The record is from RNAcentral.